GCGUGUUCAAUCCCAGAGUCGCGAGUUCAAUCCCAGAGUCGCGUGUUCAAUCCCUGGGUCGCGUGUUCAAUCCCAGAGUCGCGUGUUCAAUCCCGGAGUCGCGUGUUCAAUCCCGGAGUCGCGUGUUGAAUCCCUGGGUCGCGUGUUGAAUCCCUGGGUCGCGUGUUCAAUCCCAGAGGCGCGUGUUCAAUCCCAGAGUCGCGUGUUCAAUCCCGGAGUCACGUGUUCAAUCCCGGAGUCGCGUGUUCAAUCCCAGAGUCGCGUGUUCAAUCCCAGAGUCGCGAGUUCAAUCCCAGAGUCGCGUGUUCAAUCCCAGAGUCACGUGUUCAAUCCCUGGGUCGCGAGUUCAAUCCCUGGGUCGCGUGUUCAAUCCCGGAGUCGCGUGUUCAAUCCCGGAGUCACGUGUUCAAUCCCGGAGUCGCGUGUUCAAUCCCGGAGUCGCGUGUUCAAUCCCGGGGUCGCUUGUUGAAUCCCUGGGUCGCGUGUUGAAUCCCAGAGUCGCGUGUUCAAUCCCAGAGUCGCGUGUUCAAUCCCGGAGUCGCGUGUUCAAUCCCGGGGUCGCGUGUUCAAUCCCGGGGUCGCGUGUUCUAUCCUAGAGUUGCGUAUUCAAUUGUUUAAUCCCAAACCUUAACCAUUCUGAAUUAAUGCCUAAAAUGAACCUUCAAAAUGUGACCUUUUUUGGACAAAUGUCAUAUUCUGCACUGUAAGAGCUUGUUGCCCUUGUAUGGCCUUAAUUGCUAAUCAGACCACAUUCUGAGACAAGGAGACACACAACAACAGUCAGGUCAUGAAUAUUCAUGUAUUUAUUAAUGCCCUGUCAUCUGGUCCAGAGGAGCGUUUUAAUGUGUCUGUCUGUGUUCCAUAUUACUGUAGUUCUUCUAUUCAUGACAGCUUCUGUCUGUGUGUGUGUGUGUGUGUGUGUGUGUGUGUGUGUGUGUGUGUGUUGUGCGUUACUCUACUCCCCUCCUCCUAUACCUCUCUAUGACAGCUCCUGUGUGUGUGUGUGUGUUGUGCGUUACUGUAC
Molecule: long non-coding RNA, 1024 nt
Organism: Oncorhynchus tshawytscha (Chinook salmon)
Lineage: Eukaryota; Metazoa; Chordata; Actinopteri; Salmoniformes; Salmonidae
Source: Ensembl